GGAUGUGAGGGCAAUCUGGCUGUGACAUCUGUCACCCCACUGAUCGCCAGGGUUGAUUUGGCUGAUCUGGCUGGGGUGUCCCCUUCCUCCCUCAACGCUCCACGUGCAUCCCUCCCGAAGCUGCGUGCUUGGUCAGUCGAAGAGGAUGACCUCCCCCCAUAGAGGAGGACUGGUCUUCGGUCAAGGGUAUAGGAGUAGCUUUGCUCCCCUGCUAGAACCUCCAAGCUCUCAAAUGUAAUAAAUCUGUAAGACCACUCCUACUCUUUAAGGCAAAAAAAUAAAAUAAGAUU
RNAcentral lists this small nuclear RNA (290 nucleotides) under Nannospalax galili (Upper Galilee mountains blind mole rat). RNAcentral describes it as "7SK RNA (ENSNGAG00000002755.1)". It matches the Rfam family "7SK RNA". From Rfam's summary of the family: 7SK was discovered as an abundant small nuclear RNA in the mid-70s but a possible function has only recently been suggested. Two independent studies have found that 7SK RNA binds the CDK9/cyclin T complex (known as elongation factor P-TEFb). P-TEFb activates transcription by phosphorylating the C-terminal domain of RNA polymerase II. Lineage: Eukaryota; Metazoa; Chordata; Mammalia; Rodentia; Spalacidae. The record is from RNAcentral.